This 72-nucleotide transfer RNA is filed under the name Phrynosoma platyrhinos (Desert horned lizard). RNAcentral describes it as "tRNA-OTHER". Lineage: Eukaryota; Metazoa; Chordata; Lepidosauria; Squamata; Phrynosomatidae. The record is from RNAcentral.
GCCAGCAUGGUGUAGUGGUUUGAGUGUUGGACUACCACUCUGGAGACCAGGGUUUGAUUCCUUGCUCUGCCA